This 3691-nucleotide long non-coding RNA is filed under the name Sus scrofa (pig). RNAcentral describes it as "lncRNA (ENSSSCG00000060953.1)". The record is from RNAcentral. Lineage: Eukaryota; Metazoa; Chordata; Mammalia; Artiodactyla; Suidae.
AGCUCACAGCAACAUUGGAUCCUUCUUGUUUAUAAAAAUUCUUACAAAAACCUUGGCUAUGUUUGGGCCAUCUGCCCAUACCCUGGCACUGGGAAUGGGGUUAGUUCCAUACAGUCCGGCCAUAUAGACUGAAGUAGAUGGUAUCAAAGGAAAAAUUAAGCUGUUUUCAAUAGAAUGGGUGUGUACAGACAGAUGCUGAGCAGGCAAAACCUACAGUUGUCCACAACUGGGGCUUAACCCAGUUGGAACCCCAAGAAUGGCUAUUUUGGAAAUGUAGAAUUUAAGAUGAGGCUUUAGAAAACCCUACCAAAUAUGAAAAUAUUUACCACUGUUUGGCACAAAGGUUCUUGGAGAUGCUAAGCUGCCGUUUAUUGCUUUACCCUUAUGUAACGGUAUUGACGUGUCCCCUAAAUUGGGACGUGGAAGAGGACGAGCCAUGAUAGCCUUGUCUCUACUUUUUGCCCUUACCUUGUAUCUAUCUACGAGUAAAGAAAGAAUAUCUUAUUCUUGUUAUAUUCCUAGCAUUUAGCCUGGUCUGUGGUAGGGAAUAAAUAAGUAUUUGAUAAUCAAAGAUAAACUGAUGCAGGAGUUCCCAUUGUGGCUUAGUAGAUUAAGGACCCAACAUUGCCUCUGUGAGGAUGUGGGUUCGAUCUCUGGCCUAGCUCAGUGGGUUAAGGAUCCAGUGUUGCCAUAAGUUGCAGUGUAGGUCACAGAUGCAGCUCAGAUCCUGCAUUGCCACGUCUGUGGCAUAGGCCAGAGCUGCAGCUCUGAUUCGACCCCUGGCCCAAGAACUUCCAUAUGCCUCAGGUGCAGCCAUGAAAAAAAGGGGUGGGGGGUAAACUGAUGAAUAAAGUAUAAUUUAUAAAAGUGUCUUUUGUUAUUAGAUCUUCUAAACCAUAUUCUUGCUAUCGGCUGUGUUGUCUUCUCACUUCAAUUACCAUUCUUUUUUCUGGUUUUCCUGGCUCUUCCAUCCCUUAACUUUGUAUCCUGGUUCUGAUAACCAAUUCAGGCAAUUCACAUUUUGAUGACUAAUUUUUUUUUUUUUCUUUUUAAGACCGUACCUGCAGCCUAUGGAAGUUCCUAGGCUAGGGGUUGAAUCAGAGCUGCAGUUGCAGGCCUACAUUGUAGCCAUGGCAACACCGGAUCUGAGCCACAGCUUGUGGCAACGAUGGACCCUUAACCCACGGAGCAAGGCCAGGGAUCAAACCCGCACCCUCAUGGAGACUAUGUUAGGUUCUUAACCCACUGAGCCACCAUGGGAACUCCUUGACUCUUUUCAACUCUGUGUUAGAUUCCUCAUUCUUCCAUAGAAGUUGAACCCUCAAUUUUUAUACAGCCAUAUUGCUGCUCUGUUUUAAAUGACAUUUUUCAGCCUCCCUUGUCGUAACAGAGUUCCGGAUGAUAGGGGGUAAGCAGAGGUUUGUGGUCCCUUCCAGGAAACUUCUGUGGUUUCUAGCCCUCCACAAAUGGCCCUUGGCAAUUCCCCUCAUAUGCAUGUCACUCUUCCCAUCGAGGGGUGGAGUGUGUCCACGACCACCCCUGCUUCAGGCUGGCCCUGCGACUGCUUUGAACAGUAGAAUGCACAAGAGGGACAUUUAGGGACUUCCAAGCUUAGGCCUUAAGAGAAUUGUAACUUUCAUUUUCUUCCUCUUGGGACACCCUUGCUUGGAAUGAUCCUUUUUGAAUGCGACUUCCAUGCUAUAAGGGAGCCCAAGCAGCUGUGAGGAAAAGUCCCCAUGAAGGAGAACUGAGGCUUCAGGCAGUGGCAGCUGUGAGCACCUAACUAAUAUUCAGUGCCAACCUGCCAGCCAUGUAGUUGAGGUCCCGUUGACCUGUCAUUUGUUCCAGAAUGCUGUCCAACACCAAGCAAAGCAGAAGAACUGUGCAGUCUACUCACAGAGUCAUGAUGUAUAAUAAAUUAUUGCUGUGUUAAGCCACUAGGUUUUGGGGUGGCUGGUUAUGCUUCCACAGAAAAACGAAAACACAUUCCUUAAAAUAUGGGUAUUUGCUCUUUGCCUCUUCUUUUUGCCGUUUUCCUUCGUGUAUACAGGAAUAUAUAUACAUGAUAAAAAGAGCUGAAGCCUUGUUAGACCAAGGCAAUCUUAGGGACGCCAGUCAUGCAAGAGAAAAUAACUUGAACUGUCUCUAUUUCAUAUAAGAAAUAUAGCUUCUAUCUUGAAUAAGCCACUGUUAUUUUGGGUCUCUAUGCAAGUUGAACCUAGUUCAAACUGUGUUGAUUCAUUGUCAGGCGUGAUUCAAAUGGUAACCUUUGCACAUCCCCUCAGUUUUGUCAGUUUGCUUGUUCUUCCGUUUAUUUUUAAAUUAAUUUCUGUUUUAUCAAAUAUACGUAUGUAUACAGUUUUAAAAUCCAUGUAUUUGGGGAGUUUCAGUUCCUGACAAGAUGAAGGAUCAUCUUAGCCUCACUAAUUCCUUCCUUCAAAUCCUACCUCAUAAAUGCCACAAAAGCCAGAAGGAAAUUAUGUGAAACUAACAUAACUACAUGAGAAAUCUCUGGUGUAACAGAGAUGCUUAGGUCUUAGCGUGAGGGAGAAGUGGAAGCCCAGCACCAAACAUCGGCUGAGCACCGUGUUGGGAUAGAGACGGGGCUGUCGAACUGCAGAGACCUUGAGACAUGCCUUUGGUUCUUUCACAUUAUCCCGAGCAGACUUUGCUCAUCUCAAUGCCACAGGGAAGCAGGAAAAACAACCGCCAGCCCUGUACUGUCAGGACGGCCACUGUAACACCAGAGCGGGCACCCAAGCCAAGAUGGGUGGUUAAAAACCAGUUAACAAUGGGUGCAGGUGGACUGGCCAGCUCCUCAGCCUUCCUUGCCUGCCCUGCUUUUGCCCUGGACCCCUCCUUCACAGACAACCUGAAAAAAGAGCAGAACUGAGAUGGAAGUCUAAACCAGAAAGUCCUGGUCAUUCUCUCUCUGCAACCCCUACGUCAAAUUUACCAGGAAAGACAGCAACGAGGGCUUAUGCUUUGGCUCUCUUUAUAAGCCCAGGCAUCUCGUACUUCUAGGAUAGGAUUUCUCAAUCUUGGCUCUUUUGAAAUACUGGGCAGAUAAAUUAAUAUUGUUAGAGGAUGUUCUGUACAUUAUAGGGUUUUAAGGCACAUCCCUGAUCUCUAUCCACCAGAAGUUAGCAGCAGUACUCUAAUACUGCCCCCUGCCCCCUGUCCAGACUGUAGCAACCCAAAAUAUCUCCAGAAAUUUCUAAGUGUUUCCCUUUGGCGCAAAAUCAGCCCUGGUUAAAACUUCUAUUCUAGGAGAAUGGGCAUAGGCCCCCUGCAUUGCAAUGUGAUAGCCUGGAAUAUGAACUCAUAGGAAAAAAUAAUUAGACUUGUUGGGAGAGCCACUGAGAUAAGAAAGCAAAUAACAAAUCAAGUAUAUUUUUUAAAAAAUGAAGUGUCUUAAAGAACUAAGAAAGGAUAUUGCUAUAAAGCCGAAGUGAUACAAGAGCCCUCAGCAGAAUUUCUGAGUAUGAAAAAAAAAUUUGAAAACAGAUAUUUAAUAGGUUGAUUUUUGAAUAUUAGAUGGAUUAUCAGAAUAAAUGUAGACUAAAUCAAGGAAGUGGAAGAUUAGUUGCAGAAAACAGCAGGAUGGGUUAUAUAGUUGAAAUAUAAAAAGAAAAAGUUAAGAGACAUGGAAAAUAGAAAUAUAAGCAUCAACAUUCAAAUAGUAUGAGUC